RNAcentral lists this long non-coding RNA (956 nucleotides) under Marmota monax (woodchuck). Lineage: Eukaryota; Metazoa; Chordata; Mammalia; Rodentia; Sciuridae. The record is from RNAcentral.
AGCGAGUGAAGCUUCUGUCCAUAAGAUCCGUGGACACCGCAAAGUCCACCAGGAAGCUACGCUGCCGCAGGUGUGGCCCCUCCAAGGUCUCCUGUGAAAGCCACUCACUUGUUACUUAGCACUGUUUUCAGCCCCUGCCCACUUAGAUGCCCUGGGACUCGACACAGAGCAGCACCUGAACUGUGAUCCCAGGGCGUUGGAGGAGCACCUGGGUUGUCUGUUGCUGUCUCUGUGUGGAGAUCUGGGGGACUGAACCCCACCCAGCAGGGCGCUCCAGCCCCAACUCCAGCCCCACUCCAGCCCCAGCCCCAUCACCUCCUGCCUCCUGAGCCCUCCCCAGGCCUCUGCGCCCAGGGCGCUCCCACACUGUCCCCUCCUGAACCUCCUUCCUCCACCUGCUGGGGUCAAGAGGUGGCCCCAAACUCUUUAGCUCCAUCCCCCUCCCCCACCAGCCACCAUCUCCGGAAGUCCCCCCUCUGUCUUGCUCUGUGCCAGUGGCCUGGGCCGUCUGCAGCCUCCUAGCAAAGGGUCUUUCGCCCAUGUCCUGUCGGGUUCCUUGCCUGCUCUGGGUGCUGCUCUUGUAGUGUCCCUGUGUCCCACCCCAGGUCACUCGGUGGCCCUGACCGCAGCCUUGCUCCGCCACACCCCGCCGCCCUCUCCAGCCUCCAUCACUCUGCCCCAUCUCAGGGAUCUCGGUCACUCCAGCGGUAGCACCUUGGCUCUGGUGCUGGCAGCCACUGCCGCUCCUCCUGACUCGUUUCCAGCCCUGCCCACCCCCUGGAGCCUCCCCAGGAGGACCGACAUGCCACUCCGGGCAGUACCCCCGACAGUCUCACUUGAAGCCCCACUAGCUGAGCCCACUCCAUGCUGAGGUGAGAGAAAAGCACAAACUGCUUGGCUGCUCUUGUCCAGUGAGCCCCUGGUGCUGCCUAGAAAUCACGUGACCGACUCUCCUG